AUACCUAUUAUUUUUAAUGUAUUUAUUUUAAUUUAGUAGUAUUAGUUAAGAUCUUUAAACUAAAAGAAUUUGGCGGUAUUUUAGUCUAUUUAGAGGAAUCUGUUUUGUAAUCGAUAAUCCGCGUUUUACCUUACUUUAAUUAUUUUCUUGAUAUCUCUGUUUAUUUGAAUAUAUUUUUAGGUUUUAUUUUCUUAAUAAUUUAUUGAUUAAUAUUUCAAGUCAAGGUGCAGUAUAUUAUUAAAGUUUAUAAAUGGAUUACAAU
This 262-nucleotide ribosomal RNA is filed under the name Bantia fusca. Its description in RNAcentral is "partial 12S ribosomal RNA". The record is from RNAcentral. Lineage: Eukaryota; Metazoa; Arthropoda; Insecta; Mantodea; Thespidae.